Molecule: long non-coding RNA, 4182 nt
Filed under: Vitis vinifera (wine grape)
Lineage: Eukaryota; Viridiplantae; Streptophyta; Magnoliopsida; Vitales; Vitaceae
Description: long non-coding RNA (VVIN_LNC004168)
Source: RNAcentral
CUUGAGGCAAAACCAUAUCAUUGCUUAGUUUUGACUAUGUUCUUUUGAUCAUUGUGAGAAAGCAUCAUUGUAAGAUGUACAAGAAACGUGUUGUGGUGCAUUAUCCCCUUCUCUACCACCUAAAAUCUAUUUUACACGAUCAUAAGGACCAAGGUGUUUUAAGCAUCAGGUAAGGAAUUUGUUGACAAUGAUGUGAGAGAUAGAGACAUGCAACAUACCGGUAUUCAAAAGACGUGAUGUUCUUCUUUUGCAUUUGACAAUAUUCAUUUAGUCUGAACUCCAUAUUUGAGCAACUUAGAAUCUCCACCUUCAUUAGGAUUGCAGGAAGUUGGCUUCUUGGAAAGACAUGGAAAGGGAGCAUCUAGAAAUCUGAAAGAAUUCCAGAGGCUUGUUGCUACUUUUGAAUCAUUCCAAUCAAUAGCAACUCCAAAAGAUAUAUACAAAUCUAUCCCUGGAAAAGAGAUGUGUCCUGUGCAUAUGCAACCAUCUCUCUAAUAGACUCGGGAUUGUGCAUCCUCAUGGUAGUUUCAUAUAUAUUGCACCAUAUGAAUUGUAGAUAUCCAACUACCAAUAUCACUACACCUGAAUGAACUAGGAGUUAUGCUGAAAGUGAAUUUGGACAACCCAUCAUCGAAAGAAUCCUGUAGGAAUACACCAAAAAGAAAAUCUUAUUAACAUAAAUGAAUUCAUCCCGCUAAUGGAUAAAGUUGCCUAAAAAAUUAAAUUGGGAGAGAUAGAAAUAUUGAUGCUUACAUGGGACUGUGAGAGGGACCAACAAGUGGAACAAACAUUGAAUAGUAAAUGUAAAACCAUAAAGCUCGUAACUGUUGUCAAAAGCUGCUCUCUACUGAAGUUUUUUUAACAAUAAAGGUAAGUAGAAAAUUCACCUAAUAGCUCCACUUGUAGGAAAUUUCAAUGGUGUGAAACUAGGAUAUGGUGAACUCACUUUUGCUAAUGCAGUGAACCAUUAUGGAUAAAAAAUGAAUCUCACCAUCAGUUUUCACAUAGGAGAUGUGGGCUCUCUUUGGCCCAUUUCUCAGUAUUGGAUCUAAGAGUUUUGUCUCUCAUAUAUGGUUCCACUUGCCAAAUACAAUGGAGCUUAGCUGAUGACAACACAUUCAGAAAAAUGCAAGAAUUCCAAAGACAUGUUUUGUGCUAUCAUGAAUCAUUCCAAUCAAUAAGGAAUCGAAGUGCUAUAAUUUUGAAUUGUCUUAGGGAACAUACCCCAAUUCAAUCUUGCGGAAGUAAACUGUCUUGAGCACCAACUCAAUUCUGAGAUCUUUGGAAGACUUGAGACACCAAUUCAAUAAAAAAUGCUAGUUGUUUUUGUGGUAGAUUGUCUUCCUCCACUAAUACUGGGGAAAAUGCUUUUGAAAACCAUUAAUCUGAAAAUUACAGAGGAAAAUGAGAUUAUGUUGUUAUUGUAUCUCCAAUCUCCUUGACAUAAAUAGAUAUUUCCUUGCAACCAACAAUUUCUAAUUCUAUCACUUCUAUUCUAGCAUGUGAUUUAGGAAGAGAAUUAAGGUUCAGAAUAUUGCCAACAUGCAAGGAAUUGACAAAGGCCAAGUGGGCAGCCAUAAUAGUUAGUUCACAAACAAAUGACACCAUUGGAAGUGGAACACAAAACAUAAACUUCAAAAAUAAAACAUGUAUCCCACAAUCAUAAAUACCAAGGUGUUUAAGCAUCAAGUAAGGCAUCUCUUGACAAUGAUGUGAGAGAGAGACAUGCAACAUACCAGUAUUCAAGAGAACUAGUAUUCUUCUUUUGCAUUAGGCAACAUUCAUCUAUUCUACACUCCAAAUUUUAGCAACUCAGGAUCUCCACCUUCAUUAGGAUUGUAGGAAGCUGGCCUCUUGGAAACACAUGAGAGAACAUUUAGAAAUCUAAAAGAAUUCCAGAGACUUGUUGUUGCUUGAAUUGUUAAUCAUUCCAAUCAUAAAUACCAAGGUAUUUCAGGAUUAGGUAAGGCAACUCUUGGCAAUGAUGUGAGAGAUAAAGCCAAGCAGCAUACUAGUAUUAAAGAGAAGUAGUAUUCUUCUUUUGCAUUCAACAACAUUCAUCUACUGUACACCCCAAAUUUUAGCAACUUAGGAUCUCCACCUUCAUUAGGAUUGUAGGAAGCUGGCCUCUUGAAAACACAUGAGAGGACAUUUAGAAAUCUCAAAGAAUCCCAAAGACUUGUUGUUGCUUUAAUUGUGAAUCAUUCCAAUCAGUAACAACCUCAAAGCCCUACAUACGAUUUUUAACUAUCAACCUUCUUACCUUGAAUGAAAAACCUAUCCAUAGGAAAGAGGUGUCUUGGGCAUGCAACCAUCAAUUAUUAGCUAUCGAAAAGGCUUGAAGUUGUGCACCCACUUGGUAGUUUCUAAUUCAUUAAACCACAUAACUUCUAGAUAUCCAAUUGGCACGUCAUUACAUCUGAAUGUAAGUGAAUAGGAAGUUAGACAACCUUUCACAAAAAGAAUCCUGUAAGAAUACACCAAACAAAACUUCUUGUUAACAUAAAUGAAUUCACUCAGUUAAAUUAUUGUGUGAAAAUUUAAAUUGGGAUAAAUAAAAAUACCGAUGCUUACAUGGGACUGUGGGAGGACCAACAAGAGGAAUAGACUUUGAAUAGCAAAUGUGAAGCCAUAAAGCUUGAAAUUGUUGUCAGACGCUGCCCCCUAGCCAAGUUUUCAACAAAAAGGUUCAAUGUAGGGAUUCUCUAGUAGUUGAACUUGUAGAAAAUUUCAAUAGUAUGACUUUAUACUUGUAAUAAGAAGAUAAAUUAUGUGUUGGGAAUAAAUGAAACUUACUAAAUAUAUGGAUAGGAUAGGGUGAACUCUCUGUGUUUCCAUUUUUGGAAUCUAACGGAUCAAAGAUGGAUCUCUCCAUCUAUUUCCAAAUAGGAGAUGUGGGCAAUCUUGAAUUGAUGUCUCAUCAUUGGAUUUGGAACUGAUGUAUAGCUCUGAAACCAUGAUAGGGUUCUCCUUCAGUUGUCAAAUACAACUGGAGCUUAGGUGAGGUCUUGGUGAUAUAGAAAAGUCAUGGAUUCUAGAAUCUUUACAUGAAAAUAUAAAUGAGAUACAUUGGAAGAAAGCCCAGGCCUUGGUCAUCUGAGAAGAAACACAUCUUAAAUAUCCUAUCAAUCAUGAUGAGUUUUUUUAGAAUCAUGAGUCUAUGAAGGCCUCACUCAGAUAAGGGAUGUCUUUGACAUUUCUCACUCUUCAAUCUCAGGAAGGUACAUCAUCAACCAAAACAUUAUGAAUAUGAGUCAUCAUGAGGCAACUUGUUUAUGUUUUUUAUUCUUUUCUCAUUGGAAGGGAUUAAAAGAUAUGUAGUUGCAAGAUAAGAGAUGUAGCCAGUAGUGAGAGCAUCAAACAAUCCUUCUCUAAUGCAGACCAAAAAUUUUAGCAACUCGUGAUCUCUGCAAUUUAGAGCACUGAAGGAAGUUGGCCUGUUGGAAAGAUGUGACAUGACAUUUAGAAAUGUGCAAGAAUUCCAAAGAUCAUUUCAAUCAUUAAGGAAUCCAAAGCCCUAUAAUUUGAAUAGGGCAUCCACUUGGCAUGGAUAACGCACCUAUCUUGGGAAAAAGAUUGGGCACCAAUUCAAUCAUCAACUCUCUAUGAAACUUGAGAUACAAGGUGCCAAUGUUAGUUGCUUUCGUGGCAGUUCUUCUUUUACUGGUAUUAGGGCAAAGCCUUUUGAAAACCCUCAAUCUACAAAUUACCAAGGACAUGAGAUCAUGUUGUAAUCUCAUAAAAAUAAAAUAUAAAAAACAAAUAUUUUUUCACCCAUGAAUACUGUAACCAGCUUUUAAAAAACAUUAGGUAUUGAAAUAACCAAAUGUUCCUCAGGUAUUAAAGUUAAAGUUCAAAGUUACCAAGAGUGCUUUUUUGACCCAUGCAUAAAAUAAAAAGAAAAUAAGAAAGCAUAACAUAUAACUCAUAAUUGUGUCAAGUGUGAGUUCAAUUCAUGGUCAUGCACAAUUGCAUUAAGUAUUUAAAAGCUAAAUAUGGCUAUGUGCAAUUCAAAGAAUAUCAUACAACUCACAAUAGAAUCCUCACAACUCACCAUAGAAUGAGAACUCAAUUGUCUUUCUUCUAGUCAUAAGAGUUUGUGCUCUUCGAGCCUCUAACUUGCACAACUUAAGACAGCAAGACAUGCUAAAAAGUCUCUUUCACCUCAAACAUUAAUCAAAU